UACCGUCUCAGCCACCAAGGAAGCCCAAAGUGUGCAAUAGCCAUUUCUUUAAGGGGUAUGACCUGGAACUAGCACACUAUCGCUUUUGCUGCCAUUCUAUUGUCAAGAACUUAGUCAUAAGGGCACAGCUAGCUGCAGGUGAAUUUCGGAAAUAGAGUCUCCAGCUGAAAAGCAGAGUCUUCAGCUAUGACUCAGGAGUUUUAAUAUUAAAGAAAAAGGGGCAGAAUAGAUAUAUGUAGACAACUCAUCAUCUCUCUUGCAAUGACUAGUGAUUCCUCAAUUAUAACCAGCUCCCCAUCCCUUUCAUUAUUUCCAGUAUGUCACCAAGUCCAAGUCCGAAGGAAAUGACCUGGAAAACAGGAACUUCUGCCCUCAAAGAUGCUAUUCAAAUGACAACCCAAGGCAUUUCAAGACUGCUUCUAGAGUCAAGAAUAUGAAGUGCAUCCUCUUCCUCUAACGUCUUGCUAACAUUCACUAAUUUCUGUUGCCAGCGCACACUGGGAUAUGAAGUUCAAACAGCUUCCCAAGAGUGAACAGGAAGAACUCUCUAAUUCUUGAUCCUGCUGUGCUGCAAAGGAGGAAUCACUCGGGAUGCCAUCAGAGCAAAGCCAAUCUGUUCUCAAGCCCACGGGUUCACUCAGAGGGGCCUGAACACCUGUGUCUGCUGUAGCCCAUCAGGCUCCUCUGUCCAUGGAAUUCUCGAGGCAAGAAUACUGG
Molecule: long non-coding RNA, 717 nt
Organism: Bubalus bubalis (water buffalo)
Lineage: Eukaryota; Metazoa; Chordata; Mammalia; Artiodactyla; Bovidae
Exons: 4
Source: RefSeq, a predicted model, not a curated record